CAUACAGAGCAGAGAAUUUCAGAAUCACAUCCCCUGGUAGAGCGCAAAUGAGCAGAAGGGGAAAGAGAAAUGCAGUGUGAUGCACGUACUCCAUCGUGUUUGCGGUCGGGUUACCCUGUCCUUGGAUAAGAAGUUUAUAUUCUCCGGCCCCCCGGUACAUAGUUGUGUAUUCUACGUUGUGGGUUCCUCUAGUUGUGGCAUGUGGGACGCUGCCUCAGCGUGGUCUGACGAGCAGUGCCAUGUCCGCGCCCAGGAUUCGAACCGACGAAACACUGGGCCGCCUGCAGCGGAGCGCGCAAACUUAACCACUCGGCCACGGGGCCAGCCCUGAAACGCUGGAACGCUCACCUGCCACGGGCAGCCAAGUCUACCUGGAAGAUACGCUAGCUCAGCCUGGCUCUCCUGAAUGGAAAGGGCAUUCUUGUUUCUAGAGGAUGAUGAAUUCCUGAAUAAUAUUAUGGGUUCUGCCUCUGGUUCCCGAUUAUCUUUGAUCUACGGAAGACAGGAG
RNAcentral lists this long non-coding RNA (508 nucleotides) under Equus asinus (donkey). RNAcentral's name for it is "lncRNA (ENSEASG00005024019.1)". The record is from RNAcentral. Lineage: Eukaryota; Metazoa; Chordata; Mammalia; Perissodactyla; Equidae.